AUUGAACGCUGGCGGCAGGCCUAACUCAUGCAAGUCGAACGGUAACAGGGAUCAGCUUGCUGAUUCGCUGACGAGUGGCGGACGGGUGAGUAAUGUCUGGGAAACUGCCUGAUGGAGGGGGAUAACUACUGGAAACGGUUGCUACUACCGCCUAACGUCGCAAGACCAAAGAUGGUGACCUUCGGGCCUCUUUCCAUCGGUUGUGCCCAGAUGGGAUUAGCUAGUAGGUGGGGUAACGGCUCACCUAGGCGACGAUCCCUAGCUGGUCUGAGAGGAUGACCAGCCACACUGGAACUGAGACACGGUCCAGACUCCUACGGGAGGCAGCAGUGGGGAAUAUUGCACAAUGGGCGAAAGCCUGAUGCAGCCAUGCCGCGUGUAUGAAGAAGGCCUUCGGGUUGUAAAGUACUUUCAGCGGGGAGGAAGGGAGUAAAGUUAAUACCUUGGCUCAUUGACGUUACCCGCAGAAGAAGCACCGGCUAACUCCGUG
RNAcentral lists this ribosomal RNA (490 nucleotides) under uncultured bacterium. RNAcentral's name for it is "partial 16S ribosomal RNA". It matches the Rfam family "Bacterial small subunit ribosomal RNA", at positions 30 to 507 of the family's 1533-position model. The record is from RNAcentral.